AUUGAACGCUGGCGGAAUGCUUUACACAUGCAAGUCGAACGGCAGCACGGACUUCGGUCUGGUGGCGAGUGGCGAACGGGUGAGUAAUGUAUCGGAACGUGCCCAGUCGUGGGGGAUAACGUAGUGAAAAUUACGCUAAUACCGCAUACGAUCUAUGGAUGAAAGCGGGGGAUCGCAAGACCUCGCGCGAUUGGAGCGGCCGAUAUCAGAUUAGGUAGUUGGUGGGGUAAAGGCCCACCAAGCCAACGAUCUGUAGCUGGUCUGAGAGGACGACCAGCCACACUGGAACUGAGACACGGUCCAGACUCCUACGGGAGGCAGCAGUGGGAACUUUGGACAAUGGGCGAAAGCCUGAUCCAGCCAUUCCGCGUGCAGGAUGAAGGCCCUCGGGUUGUAAACUGCUUUUGUACAGAACGAAAAGGUUUCUACUAAUACUAGGGGCUCAUGACGGUACUGUAAGAAUAAGCACCGGCUAACUACGCGCCAGCCGCCGCAGUAA
RNAcentral lists this ribosomal RNA (499 nucleotides) under uncultured bacterium. Its description in RNAcentral is "partial 16S ribosomal RNA". It matches the Rfam family "Bacterial small subunit ribosomal RNA", at positions 30 to 523 of the family's 1533-position model. The record is from RNAcentral.